GGUCCCUUAGCUCAGCUGGAUAGAGCAUCAGAUUUCUAAUCUGACGGUCGAAGGUUCGAGUCCUUCAGGGAUCA
Molecule: transfer RNA, 74 nt
Filed under: Bacteroidota bacterium
Lineage: Bacteria; Pseudomonadati; Bacteroidota
Also listed under: 1 other name
Description: tRNA-Arg
Rfam family: tRNA
About the family: Transfer RNA (tRNA) molecules are approximately 80 nucleotides in length.
Source: RNAcentral